GCGGAUAUGGCGGAACUGGCAGACGCGCUAGAUUUAGGUUCUAGUGGGCAACCCCCAUGCAGGUUCGAUUCCUGUUAUCCGCA
RNAcentral lists this transfer RNA (83 nucleotides) under Eubacterium sp. RNAcentral's name for it is "tRNA-Leu". It matches the Rfam family "tRNA". Rfam says of the family: Transfer RNA (tRNA) molecules are approximately 80 nucleotides in length. Their secondary structure includes four short double-helical elements and three loops (D, anti-codon, and T loops). Further hydrogen bonds mediate the characteristic L-shaped molecular structure. tRNAs have two regions of fundamental functional importance: the anti-codon, which is responsible for specific mRNA codon recognition, and the 3' end, to which the tRNAs corresponding amino acid is attached (by aminoacyl-tRNA synthetases). tRNAs cope with the degeneracy of the genetic code in two manners: having more than one tRNA (with a specific anti-codon) for a particular amino acid; and 'wobble' base-pairing, i.e. permitting non-standard base-pairing at the 3rd anti-codon position. The record is from RNAcentral. Lineage: Bacteria; Bacillati; Bacillota; Clostridia; Eubacteriales; Eubacteriaceae.